CUGAUGUGUUUAAGAGUCCGUUCACAGAUGUCUCCUGAUCAACACGUGACGGUAAUGUCUGAACUGUCUCCGGAUAAUGGCCAUCCUCUCCACCUGCGCCCCCAUCUUCAUGCUUGGGACGGAGCCUUGUGCCCACACCAGUUUUGGCCCAAACUCUGAUUCCAUCUGGGCCUGCUGGCCCCGGGAGGCUUCUGUUCACCGCCCGCCGGAGGGUUCCAUGUCUCUGUCUCUUGAUGUAUCCCUCAUUUUGAUGGACACACAGUAGUGACUUCUGAGGAGAGAGGCAAACGAGAGGAUUUUGAGUCAUUUUGAAAAUAACUUUAUUCUUAUUGUACUUGAUUAAUUAUUUUUGAGGCAAUAUAACAAUAUAUUUUACAUGAAUUGAAAAGAUGGUGGGCAAUCUAUUUUAUUAUUAGGAAGCA
This 422-nucleotide long non-coding RNA is filed under the name Cricetulus griseus (Chinese hamster). RNAcentral describes it as "lncRNA (ENSCGRG00015034018.1)". The record is from RNAcentral. Lineage: Eukaryota; Metazoa; Chordata; Mammalia; Rodentia; Cricetidae.